RNAcentral lists this ribosomal RNA (440 nucleotides) under uncultured bacterium. RNAcentral describes it as "partial 16S ribosomal RNA". It matches the Rfam family "Bacterial small subunit ribosomal RNA", at positions 338 to 795 of the family's 1533-position model. The record is from RNAcentral.
CCUACGGGAGGCUGCAGUGGGGAAUAUUGCACAAUGGGGGAAACCCUGAUGCAGCAACGCCGCGUGAGUGAAGAAGUAUUUCGGUAUGGUAAGCUCUAUCAGCAGGGAAGAAAAUGACAGUACCUGACUAAGAAUCCCCGGCUAACUACGUGCCAGCAGCCGCGGUAAUAUGUAGGGGGCAAGCGUUAUCCGGAUUUACCGGGUGUAAAGGGAGCUUAGUCGGCUGCGCAAGUGCGAAGUGAAAGGCCUGGGCUCAACCGCGGGACUGCUUUUGAAACUGUGUCGCUAGAGUGCAGGAGAGGUAAGUGGAAUUCCCAGUGUAGCGGUGAAAUGCGUAGAUAUUAGGAAGAACCCCGGUGGCGAAGGCGGCUUACUGGACUGUAACUGACGUUGAGGCUCGAAAGUGUGGGUAUCGAACAGGAUUAGAUACCCCUGUAGUC